This 300-nucleotide ribosomal RNA is filed under the name uncultured bacterium. RNAcentral describes it as "bacterial SSU rRNA". It matches the Rfam family "Bacterial small subunit ribosomal RNA", at positions 775 to 1067 of the family's 1533-position model. The record is from RNAcentral.
GGAUUAGAUACCCUGGUAGUCCUAGCUGUAAACGAUGGAUACUAGACGUAGGAACUGGAUUGACGGUUUCUGUGUCGCAGCUAACGCGUUAAAUACUCCGCCUGGGUACUACGACCGCAAGGUUGAAACUCAAAGGAAUUGACGGGGACCCGCACAAGCGGUGGAACAUGUGGUUUAAUUCGAUGCAACGCGAAGAACCUUACCAACACUUGACAUGUUCGUCGCGGCUCUAAGAGAUUAGAGCUUUCGGUUCGGCCGGACGAAACACAGGUGCUGCAUGGCCGUCGUCAGCUCGUGUUG